This 415-nucleotide ribosomal RNA is filed under the name Soosia diodonta. RNAcentral's name for it is "partial 16S ribosomal RNA". It matches the Rfam family "Bacterial large subunit ribosomal RNA", at positions 1824 to 2601 of the family's 2925-position model. The record is from RNAcentral. Lineage: Eukaryota; Metazoa; Mollusca; Gastropoda; Stylommatophora; Helicodontidae.
AGCCACGAGUAUGUAUUCAUGGUUUCUUCUGCCCAAUGGUAGAUAAAUGGCCGCGGUACCUUGACCGUGCAAAGGUAGCAUAAUCAAUUGGCUUAUAAUUGAAGUCUAGAAUGAAUGAAUUUAUGGGGGAGACCUGUCUCAAAUAUCUAUUCAAAAGUUACGGCUAAAGUGAAAAGUCUUUAGGAUAACACUUAGACGAGAAGACCCUAGAAAUUUUUUAAAUUAUAUUAUUUUGUUGGGGCGACAGAGUUAAAGGUAACUGAUUUAAAAUGACAAGUGAUAAAUUAUUGGAUUGAUUAAAUUACUCUAGGGAUAACAGCAUAAUUUGUAAAAGUUUGUGACCUCGAUGUUGGACUAGGGAUUUUAUUGUUUAGAAAAUAAUAUAUAUUGCUCUGUUCGAGCAUUGAACCUACAU